GACGAACGCUGGCGGCGUGCUUAACACAUGCAAGUCGAACGGAAAGGCCCUGCUUGCAGGGUGCUCGAGUGGCGAACGGGUGAGUAACACGUGGGUGAUCUGCCCCUUACUUUGGGAUAAGCCUGGGAAACUGGGUCUAUUACUGGAUAGGACCAUGCUGUAGGUGGUGUGGUGGAAAGAUUAGUUUCGGUCAGGGAUGAGCUCGCGGCCUAUCAGCUUGUUGGCGGGGUAAUGGCCUACCAAGGCGUCGACGGGUAGCCGGCCUGAGAGGGUGGACGGCCACAUUGGGACUGGGAUACGGCCCAGACUCCUACGGGAGGCAGCAGUGGGGAAUAUUGCACAAUGGGCGCAAGCCUGAUGCAGCGACGCCGCGUGGGGGAUGACGGCCUUCGGGUUGUAAACUCCUUUCAGCCAUGACGAAGCCCUUGUGGUGACGGUAGUGGUAGAAGAAGCACCGGCUAACUACGUG
This 469-nucleotide ribosomal RNA is filed under the name uncultured bacterium. RNAcentral describes it as "partial 16S ribosomal RNA". It matches the Rfam family "Bacterial small subunit ribosomal RNA", at positions 28 to 507 of the family's 1533-position model. The record is from RNAcentral.